This 941-nucleotide unclassified non-coding RNA is filed under the name Hevea brasiliensis (rubber tree). Lineage: Eukaryota; Viridiplantae; Streptophyta; Magnoliopsida; Malpighiales; Euphorbiaceae. The record is from RNAcentral.
AUAUAUAUAUAUAUGUAUUAAUUAAAUAUAUACAAAACUAAAUAGGUUUGGGUAGUAGUAAUUGGGUUUGGAAUGGAUAUGGAUAGGAAGUGGUGAAUUCUAAUUGGUUUUGGGUAGUAGUAAUUAAACGGUUCGGGUACCUUGAAUUUGAAUUUGGCGGAUACCCUAAUUCCUAUCCCGGGUUUGACUGGGCGUGUUCUGGACCCAAACCAGACCAUGGCUAUGCUGAUUUAGUUUUGAUGCGCAUAUGCAUAUACAACAAAGUAUAAAUACAACAAUGGAUUCCCUUUUAUUUCAUUUAGCCAAUUGUCAAGUCUUGAUUGGCGACGUUACCUUUGACAGGCUUGAUGGAAUCAUUAAAUGGAUAACAUUUUAAUCAUAUAUAUACUGGCCCAAUUCUAAGACCACCAUAAAUCCUGCUGUUGCAUCGAACUUUAAAAUAGAUGAGCAUACCUAGGUGAAUAGUAAUUCUCUAUUGGAGUUGUCUAACACUGAACAAGUUAAUGAUAAAAGAUGGGCAUCACUUUAUGAAUAGAAAAGUUAAUCAUAUUCAGUGGCUAAUUUCUGGUCAUUAGCAGGCGAAGAAGUUUCAUCACCAUGCAUGUGAAAAGUUAUCUCAACGAGCAUAACUGACCCUAUCUUCAUUUGGUCCAGGUGCAAAAUUUCAAGGUUCAAGGUCCCGGUUGCGAUGACAAUAGAAAGACUGCAGCUUGUUCUGUGGGUACAGAUUGCAUAUGGGGCAUAACUUUGCAAAUUAAAUGGAAAGAGACUGUAGCUUUUGAUUGCUUGGGUUAUGAAAUCAAUCAGUUGAAUUGCUUAGAGCAAUGGAACUGUCAUUCAUAGUUUCCUGUACAUUUUUCUAUGUAUAUAAUAAUAUUGUUUUAAGUAUCUGCAUUUUGUAGUGCUUCCUUUAACUCUUUAACUAGAAAUGGUAGACAUUA